UACGUAGGGUGCAAGCGUUGUCCGGAAUUAUUGGGCGUAAAGAGCUCGUAGGCGGUUUGUCGCGUCUGCUAUGAAAACUCAGGGCUUAACCCUGAGCCUGCAGUGGGUACGGGCAGACUAGAGUGUGGUAGGGGAGAUCGGAAUUCCUGGUGUAGCGGUGGAAUGCGCAGAUAUCAGGAGGAACACCGGUGGCGAAGGCGGAUCUCUGGGCCAUAACUGACGCUGAGGAGCGAAAGCAUGGGGAGCGAACAGG
RNAcentral lists this ribosomal RNA (253 nucleotides) under uncultured bacterium. Its description in RNAcentral is "partial 16S ribosomal RNA". It matches the Rfam family "Bacterial small subunit ribosomal RNA", at positions 524 to 776 of the family's 1533-position model. The record is from RNAcentral.